This 382-nucleotide ribosomal RNA is filed under the name uncultured eukaryote. RNAcentral describes it as "SSU rRNA". It matches the Rfam family "Eukaryotic small subunit ribosomal RNA", at positions 587 to 972 of the family's 1831-position model. The record is from RNAcentral.
AGCUCCAAUAGCGUAUAUUAAAGUUGUUUCAGUUAAAAAGAACUUAGUUGGAUUUCUGUAGGAGUAGUAUCUAUAGGUCUUUGACCAAUAAAGUUGCUAUCUUCAACUAUCCUUGAAGAUAUUUAGUCUGGUAUUAAGUUCUUGGAUUAAAGAUAUUUAUCUUUUACUGUGAAAAAAUUAGAACGUUUAAAGUAAGCAUUUAGAUUUGAAUGUAUUAGCAUGGAAUAAUAAAAUAGGACUUAGGUACUAAUUUAUUGGUUUAUACACCUAGGUAAUGAUUAAUAGAUAUAGUUGGGUGUAUCUUUAUUCCAUUGUUAGAGGUGAAAUUAUUGGAUUUUUGGAAGACGAACAACUGCAAAAGCAUUUACCAAGGAUGUUUUCA